CCUAUAAAUAUAAUCUUAUUUGGAAAUAGAGUUUUUGCAGACAUAAUAAAAUUAAAAUCAGGUCAUACUGGAUGACGGUGGACUGUAAUCCAAUAACUCUGUUCUUACAGGAAGAAAGAACAUUGGACACAGAAAGAAGACCAUCAUGUGAAGUCAGAAGCAGAAAUUGGUUUAUGCCACCAUAAACCAGGGAAUGCUGGGGAGUGCGAGCAACUGCAGAAGGCAGAAGAAACAAGGGAAGGUUCUUCACUAGAGAUUUUGGAGGGAGCAUGAUUCUGCUGACACCUUGAAUUUGGCUUGAAUACAUUCACCAGCUGAAAAACUAGAUAAAGGGGAGAGGUUUGAAUUCUCUGGAAUCUUCCUGCCUGCAGGGUUCAGCCCUGCCAAUGAUAAAUAGGAAUUUGUUCUUUGGGUGAUAACACUUUCUCUACUUUUAAGAGAGAGAAACCUUCUCUACUUUUGUGAGAAAAAAAAAAAUGCUAGAGAGUUCUUCCUUUCCUGGCAUGUGGUAAUAUUGUUGUCCACAAGGCAUUAGAGACUUAUAUUUGAGAUAGUGUCUAAAUAUUUAUAACUCCUCCUGGGGAUGAAUGUUUGACUUCCUAAUGAGGGGCCACUUGAGAGCUACCUUCCCUCAUUCCCAGCUUGUGAUGCCCAUUAGCCUAUAAGGGCAGCAGGCAAUUUGGGGAUUGGCUGUGAUAAGUAAUGGGAGUUGUAAAUGUUCCAUGUAAAUUCUCUCCCAGGGAAAAGCUCUGAACCAAGUGCUUUUAAAUUAGUUUUUGUUUUGUUUUUGGAGAAGGAGCUCCAGAGCUGAGGGGUGAUGGAGAAGCUGGAGUAGAGAUGAAAGCAAAUGUAGCGAUUUGUUAAGGAAACAGUGGUGACAGCCAACAUUGUGGAGUGGGGAGGAGGGUUAAGGGAUGCUGCAGCAACAGAAUUGGUUGGGUGUUAGAGAGCAAGAGAAUUACAAAUAAAGCUAACUUGUAAGCUGAGAAAAUCAGGAAAAUACUUGGGUCACUCACUGUGGUGGGGAAUUGGUAUUUGAGAUCAGGAAGGGCAAGGAAUGGGAGAUGAGCAUGAAGAUCUAUCAGACUCACUGGCUAAUAGAGCUUGAUAGCAUUCUCAAGGCCAUUGCCACUAGUUGCCCAUUUUAAAGAUGAGGAAACUGAGUCCCAGAAAGGUGAAGCUAACUCAUCCAAAGUUCCAUAGUUAGCAAAUGGCAGAGCCAAAUUCAGAAUCCAGGACUCCUAUCAUUGUCCCAUACUCUUUCCAAAUUAGAAAUCAAGAACCAGAAAAAGUGGGAGGGCUUAUCUAGAUUUUGUAGCAUUUCAUUUUACAGCUGGUUACACACAACUUCCUCAUAGGAGACGGUAUGGGACAGAGGUCACAAACUGAAAGCUUAUGGUUUGACCUCCACUCAUUUUUAAAUUAAUACUCUAACUUAUGUCUAACAUUGAAAGAUUAGGCAAGUUCCCAUACCAAUCUGGAUUUUUGGCUGCUCUGGGAAAAACCAGUUGUUUUGUCAGAGAUUUAGUAAGAGCCACCCUCCUUUCAAGAUGAGGCAUUGUCUAGUUUACCCUCAUCACCUUGGUUGGCUUCAUAUUAUCCACCUGAAUCCUCUAGACCCUGUUUUGCAAUCCCUGGGAGGGCAGAAGGAAAGCAGAGACCCUGAGCCCCAGACUGACAGUUGAGAUUGUAAAUGACAGGGGUGAAGGGAAGUGACCAAAGGAGCGCAGAACAAUGAGGAACUGAGCCCCGAGGCCACAGAAGCAAAAGGUCUUGUCCAGGAAUUCAGGGACAGUGUUUUCAUCUAUUUUUAGUUAAAGUAACAGGAUGUGGGAACCAAAAAAGUGGUCAAUUCUCUAAUACCGCACAAUGGUGAUGACUUAUGCAAAAUAUCCUCUUUCCUAUUUUUAACUAGUUACAGAAGCUGCGUCAGAGGACUUUGCUGCUGACUAAUCCUGUUGAGGCAUCUUUCUCUGAAUUGCAUAAAUGUCAUCUACACAGCCUAGAGAACAUUUGAGAAAAAGAAAAACUGUAAAGACUACUGCAUACGGGGCAUUCUUAUAAAUAGUGUUCUGAGUGGGAUCGGGGUGUUCUGGGCCACAGCUUUCCGGAAGUUGUCUAGGAUUUCAUGGUUGAAGAAUGUGGACAGAGAAAUCAUUCAUUUUGUAAGCUGAAUUAAUGAUCCCAUGAUUUUUUGCACUAUAAGAAACAGACUGGAGAGCUUCUGUUGUUCUUUAUGAUUCAUUGAUCAACCGUGAAAGAACAAACAAAUCAAAUGCUGAAACUUGGGUUACAGUCCCUUGGUGAUUCUCUCCAGGACACUGCUGUCUCCCAAAGAAUCAUAGGCCUAAAGAGAUGGCAGAGAUUUUAGAGAUUCUUCAGCUAAACGUCUUGAUCUUUAUACAUGAGAAAACUGAACUCAGAGAGGUGACAUGACUUAUAAAGUCAUCCAGCUAGCUGGUGGCAAAGAGAGAUUUUGAACCUUGUUUUUUCUGACCAAGUCCCCAUUGCAUCAUGUCCUGCACCAACUCAUGUAUUUCUAAAAAACUUUUCUGUAUUAUCAGAUGUUGAAGAAUAGCCGCAGGCCAUGUCCAGCUUGCCACUUGUUUUUGCAAAUAAAGUUUUAUUGGAACACA
This is a long non-coding RNA of Cebus imitator (Panamanian white-faced capuchin), 2636 nucleotides long. RefSeq lists it as uncharacterized. The transcript is spliced from 2 exons. The record is from RefSeq and is a predicted model, not a curated record. NCBI's taxonomy places the organism in Eukaryota, Metazoa, Chordata, Mammalia, Primates, Cebidae.